This 282-nucleotide unclassified non-coding RNA is filed under the name Hevea brasiliensis (rubber tree). The record is from RNAcentral. Lineage: Eukaryota; Viridiplantae; Streptophyta; Magnoliopsida; Malpighiales; Euphorbiaceae.
CCCUGAUUGGUAAUUUUGGACAAGUAACUCGGUACUCGAUGAACUCUAACUAGAAUGAAUGUGCGAUAGUUAUGAGGGUGAAGAGCAAGAGCAGUAGAAACCCUAGCCGGACGGAUAGUAUCGCCAGAGAGAAGAUAUCAACGAUAAGAGGGAAUGAGGUUCAAAUGCUAAGAUCGAAAUCGAGUAAAAUUACGAGAGACACACAAAAGAAAUAGAUGAACACGAUGGGGGAUAAAUGUGGAAAGGGAAUGAAGCGGCGUUGAGGAAAAAGCAACAGGUGUG